This 75-nucleotide transfer RNA is filed under the name bacterium. RNAcentral's name for it is "tRNA-Met". It matches the Rfam family "tRNA". From Rfam's summary of the family: Transfer RNA (tRNA) molecules are approximately 80 nucleotides in length. Their secondary structure includes four short double-helical elements and three loops (D, anti-codon, and T loops). RNAcentral also lists the same sequence under 1 other name. The record is from RNAcentral.
GGCGGCGUAGCUCAGUGGUAGAGCAGCAGACUCAUAAGCUGUUGGUCGGGGGUUCAAAUCCCUCCGCCGCUACCA